CUAAGGAGACUGCCGGUGACAAACCGGAGGAAGUGGGGAUGACGUCAAGUCAUCAUGGCCCUUACGGCCUGGGCUACACACGUGCUACAAUGGUCGGUACAAAGGGUUGCCAAGCCGCGAGGUGGAGCUAAUCCCAUAAAACCGAUCGUAGUCCGGAUCGCAGUCUGCAACUCGACUGCGUGAAGUCGGAAUCGCUAGUAAUCGUGAAUCAAAAUGUCACGGUGAAUACGUUCCCGGGCCUU
This 242-nucleotide ribosomal RNA is filed under the name uncultured Pseudomonas sp. Its description in RNAcentral is "partial 16S ribosomal RNA". It matches the Rfam family "Bacterial small subunit ribosomal RNA", at positions 1140 to 1382 of the family's 1533-position model. The record is from RNAcentral. Lineage: Bacteria; Pseudomonadati; Pseudomonadota; Gammaproteobacteria; Pseudomonadales; Pseudomonadaceae.